Molecule: ribosomal RNA, 392 nt
Filed under: uncultured bacterium
Lineage: Bacteria
Description: bacterial SSU rRNA
Rfam family: Bacterial small subunit ribosomal RNA
Source: RNAcentral
GACGAACGCUGGCGGCGUGCUUAACACAUGCAAGUCGAGCGGUAAGGCCCUUUCGGGGGUACGACGAGCGGCGAACGGGUGAGUAACACGUGGGUGACCUGCCCUCAGCUCUGGGAUAAGCCUGGGAAACCGGGUCUAAUACUGGAUAUGACUCCAUGACGCAUGUUUGGUGGGGUGGAAAGCCUUGUGCGGCUGAGGAUGGGCCCGCGGCCUAUCAGCUUGUUGGGUGGGGUGAGGCCUACCAAGGCGACGACGGGUAGCCGGCCUGAGAGGGCGACCGGCCACACUGGGACUGAGACACGGCCCAGACUCCUACGGGAGGCAGCAGGUGGGGAAUCUUGCGCAAUGGGCGAAAGCCUGACGCAGCGACGCCGCGUGAGGGAUGGCGGCCU